GAUGAAGAACGUAGCGAAAUGCGAUACGUAAUGUGAAUUGCAGAUCUCUCAGUGAACCAUCGAAUUUUUGAACGCACAUUGCGCCCGCCAGUAUUCUGGCGGGCAUGCCUGUUCGAGCGUCAUUUCAACCAUCAAGCGCUUCGCUUGUGUUGGGGCCCUGCGGCUGCCGCAGGCCCCUAAAUCCAGUGGCGGGCUCGUCGUGGUACCGAGUGCAGUAAACAUCCUCGCUCAGGGAACCCGACGGGUGCCGGCCGUGAAACCCCCCCUCCUCAAGGUUGACCUCGGAUCAGGUAGGAAUACCCGCUGAACUUAAGCAUAUCAAUAAGCGGAGGA
Molecule: unclassified non-coding RNA, 333 nt
Filed under: soil metagenome
Description: partial contains 5.8S ribosomal RNA, internal transcribed spacer 2, and large subunit ribosomal RNA
Rfam family: 5.8S ribosomal RNA (bases 1-122)
Source: RNAcentral